GAAUAUGCUGCGUUGGUGCCUCAGUUUUGCAAAAACUGAUGAGAAUUUUGUUCCGUAUUCU
Molecule: transfer RNA, 61 nt
Filed under: Anchistrocephalus microcephalus
Lineage: Eukaryota; Metazoa; Platyhelminthes; Cestoda; Bothriocephalidea; Triaenophoridae
Description: tRNA-Cys
Source: RNAcentral